This 291-nucleotide unclassified non-coding RNA is filed under the name Hevea brasiliensis (rubber tree). Lineage: Eukaryota; Viridiplantae; Streptophyta; Magnoliopsida; Malpighiales; Euphorbiaceae. The record is from RNAcentral.
GUGAAAUUCAAUAUAACUAGCUCCCUGAUAGUAAAUCAUUACUCUAUGUUUCCUGCAGAAACAUAAUGAUGUAAAAGUAAGAUUAAUUGUACAAACUAAAAUGAAGUAAUGAACAAUAGGUAUUAGUCCUACAUAAGAAAUAAAUCAAGCAGCCACGAAAAAUGCAUGCAACAGGGUGUAGAGAUAUUUUGGGCUGUAGGCUGCAGGGAGUUCUCAAUCUAUUCUACCUAAAAAUGAAUGUUGCCUGGCAGGUCAACAAAGAACAAUAAUCCAAUUUCUUUAUAAAAAGCA